RNAcentral lists this ribosomal RNA (253 nucleotides) under uncultured bacterium. Its description in RNAcentral is "partial 16S ribosomal RNA". It matches the Rfam family "Bacterial small subunit ribosomal RNA", at positions 524 to 776 of the family's 1533-position model. The record is from RNAcentral.
UACGUAGGGUGCGAGCGUUGUCCGGAAUUAUUGGGCGUAAAGGGCUCGUAGGCGGUUUGUCGCGUCGGGAGUGAAAACUCAGGGCUUAACCCUGAGCCUGCUUCCGAUACGGGCAGACUAGAGGUAUGCAGGGGAGAACGGAAUUCCUGGUGUAGCGGUGAAAUGCGCAGAUAUCAGGAGGAACACCGGUGGCGAAGGCGGUUCUCUGGGCAUUACCUGACGCUGAGGAACGAAAGUGUGGGGAGCGAACAGG